This 749-nucleotide ribosomal RNA is filed under the name Microhyla ornata (ornate rice frog). RNAcentral describes it as "partial 12S ribosomal RNA". The stretch from base 1 to 503 matches the Rfam family "Bacterial small subunit ribosomal RNA", at positions 794 to 1533 of the family's 1533-position model. The record is from RNAcentral. Lineage: Eukaryota; Metazoa; Chordata; Amphibia; Anura; Microhylidae.
GCCUAGCCGUAAAACAUUAACUUACACCCCUUACCGCCCGGGAAUUACGAGCCCAAGCUUAAAACCCAAAGGACUUGACGGUGUCCCACCCACCUAGAGGAGCCUGUUCUAUAAUCGAUUCCCCCCGAUCUACCUCACCAUUUCUAGCUUUUUCAGCCUGUAUACCUCCGUCGUAAGCUUACCAUAUGAACGUUUCUCAGUGAGCUAAAAGAUUUAUUCAUAAAUACGUCAGGUCAAGGUGCAGCCCACGAAAUGGCAAGCAAUGGGCUACAAUUUCUAUAAUAGAACACAACGAAAGACUACAUGCAACUCAGUCAUGAAGGCGGAUUUAGCAGUAAAAAGAAAGUAGAGAGUUCUUUUUAAUUAGGCGCUGGGACGCGUACACACCGCCCGUCACCCUCUUCAAACGCUUUAAAUAUGUUUAUAACACUUUUAUGCACCCCAGAAGAGGUAAGUCGUAACAUGGUAAGUGUACUGGAAAGUGCACUUGGAUAAACAAAAUGUAGCUUAACUAAAGCAUCUCGCUUACACCGAGAACAUGUCCGUGAAACUCAGAUCAUUUUGAGCUGAAAACCUAGCUUACCCUAUUCUUAUGAAUAUACCUCCUUAACAUAAACUAAAUAAAACAUUUUGCACAUUUAGUAAAGGCGAUUAAAAAGUGUCUCAAAGCUAUAGAAACUAGUACCGCAAGGGAAAAGUGAAAUAUUAGUGAAAAACCUCAAGCACAAAAAAGUAGAGCUACAACCUCG